RNAcentral lists this long non-coding RNA (331 nucleotides) under Bos indicus x Bos taurus (hybrid cattle). Its description in RNAcentral is "lncRNA (ENSBIXG00000007738.1)". The record is from RNAcentral. Lineage: Eukaryota; Metazoa; Chordata; Mammalia; Artiodactyla; Bovidae.
CUCAACCACGAACUUCACCACAGACCUGGAAGAAACCUCCAUCCUCAAAGACUUGGAAAAGGCUGUCCUGGAGCCUGCGUGGAGGUUACAAAAAUCAUCCCUCUGGUGGUGGCCUGAGCAGAUUACUUCAACCCCAAUGUUGCCCUGAACGUUGCAUUCAAGAUUUGAGAAGAUUAGGACUGCUAAGGUAUGGACUUGUGACUUCUAUCUUUUUUGAAGGCAAAUACAUUUAAAGAUAGUUAAUCAUUUUCACAGCCUUCUCUCCUCCUCAUCUGCUCUUUUCUUUUUCUCUUACCUUUCUCCCUCCCUCCUUUUACGCAAUGAUCUAGUC